GAUGAACGCUGGCGGCGUGCCUAAUACAUGCAAGUCGAGCGAACAGACGAGGAGCUUGCUCCUCUGACGUUAGCGGCGGACGGGUGAGUAACACGUGGAUAACCUACCUAUAAGACUGGGAUAACUUCGGGAAACCGGAGCUAAUACCGGAUAAUAUAUUGAACCGCAUGGUUCAAUAGUGAAAGACGGUUUUGCUGUCACUUAUAGAUGGAUCCGCGCCGCAUUAGCUAGUUGGUAAGGUAACGGCUUACCAAGGCAACGAUGCGUAGCCGACCUGAGAGGGUGAUCGGCCACACUGGAACUGAGACACGGUCCAGACUCCUACGGGAGGCAGCAGUAGGGAAUCUUCCGCAAUGGGCGAAAGCCUGACGGAGCAACGCCGCGUGAGUGAUGAAGGUCUUCGGAUCGUAAAACUCUGUUAUUAGGGAAGAACAAAUGUGUAAGUAACGAUGCACGUCUUGACGGGACCUAAUCAGAAAGCCACGGCGAACUACGU
Molecule: ribosomal RNA, 496 nt
Filed under: uncultured bacterium
Lineage: Bacteria
Description: partial 16S ribosomal RNA
Rfam family: Bacterial small subunit ribosomal RNA
Source: RNAcentral